UACAGGGGGGGCAAGCGUUGUUCGGAAUUACUGGGCGUAAAGGGUCUGUAGGUGGCCAACUAAGUCAUCCGUGAAAUCCCUCGGCUUAACCGGGGAACUGCGUCUGAUACUGGAUGGCUUGAGUUCGGGAGAGGGAUGCGGAAUUCCAGGUGUAGCGGUGAAAUGCGCAGAUAUCAGGAGGAACACCGAUGGCGAAGGCAGCUCGCUGGGACGGUACUGACGCUGAGGCGCGAAAGCGUGGGGAGCAAACAGG
RNAcentral lists this ribosomal RNA (253 nucleotides) under uncultured bacterium. Its description in RNAcentral is "partial 16S ribosomal RNA". It matches the Rfam family "Bacterial small subunit ribosomal RNA", at positions 524 to 776 of the family's 1533-position model. The record is from RNAcentral.